Molecule: long non-coding RNA, 43591 nt
Filed under: Hordeum vulgare
Lineage: Eukaryota; Viridiplantae; Streptophyta; Magnoliopsida; Poales; Poaceae
Description: long non-coding RNA (HVUL_LNC017390)
Source: RNAcentral
GGGCGGUAGGUGUCAGGUGUGUUUGCAUGCUUUUUUUUGGUAGCAGGAUUAGGUGUGCUCUGUUAAGGCAUCCAGUGUUAGCUUUUAGUUCCAGAUUGGGGGGGAGCCAGAAAUUAUGUGAAGCCUGGGCAAGUAUGAGCCUAAUAAGUGUAUAAUCUGAAAUUUUCAGGUGUUUGGGUCAGGUUUUUAUUCUUGAUACCGGACUUUCCGUAGCGGGUUUAACGUAUGCUGGCAAGAUGGGUAAUUGAUCCUGCGACCUCGAAAGCACUUCCACCAGCCUAGGAGUUAUUUGUGUUAGAUGCAUAUGGAUUUUAUUUUACACUACCUAAACGUGUAGUAAAGAAACAGGUUCCAAUGAAAUGUGAGGUAAUCCAUUGGUUUCCAAAAAAUUAACCAGUAAAAUAAACCUUGAAUUGUUUACAAAACAUAUAAAAUAACACCAAAAUCCCAAACCACAAUUCUACAUUAAAUAACAAAGUGAAAUUAUGAACAUAGUAAGCAUACAAAUGUAAUUUUCAAUUGAAGUAAUAUAUAACCUCAAUGAUCAAUUCCCCACGAUCUAACCUUGAAAUUUAAAUCCCACUCCCUCCAUUCCUAAAUAUAAGUCAUUUUAGAGUUUGCACUACAAAACUACAUACGGAUGCACAUAGUACAUACUUUAGAGUGUAGAUUCACUCAUUUUACGUCAUACAUAGUCCAUUAGUAAAAACUCUAAAAAGACGUAUAUUUAGGAAAGGAGUGAGUAAUAUCAAUCUCCAAGAGUUAGCAAUCGUACCUAACUACUUCCUCCGUUCCUAAAUAUAACUCUUUUAAGAGUUUUCACUAGAAGACUUAUAUUUAGGAAUGGAGGGAGUAGUUAGGUACGAAGACAUAUUUUAGAAUCUAGAUUCUUUCAUUUUACUUCGUAUCUAGUCAUCUAGUAAAAUCUCUAAAAAGACUUAUAUUUAGGAACGGAGGAUAGUAAUCACUAAGGAACGGACAAGCAAAAAACAGAUGUGUAAAAAGCCAUUCCUUUGGAUCUGCUCCAGCUAAGCGCACCACCAGCCACGCGCACAGCCCAUUUCAGCCUCCAUACGCCGACGUUUCGUCUCGGAUCGACCCAGGGUGCCGCCGUCUUGAACAGACGAACAUGCGGGGUCGCGGGGAGGGUUUUUUUUUGAGAAAAGGGUCGCGGGAGGUGGAGCGAUCGACCAAUCAUCGUCCUUUUUUUGAGAGAAAGAUCAUGGCCGUUUUCGUCUGGAGUAAACAACAACCGAACAGACUGCUUACUAGGCUAGUAGCGCAGUGGGCCUCCUACGUCCAUCACGCAAGUCACACAUAACCCACCCAUUACGAAAGGGAAAAAGAUGCCCAUUAGCUGAUCAGAAACCAGUCCAACUGCCCAGGUAAAAGCACGAUGCAUUGACGAGUUUGCCAAUGUAACAGAGCCAUUGUAGCUUGCCCGUACUGAGCGAACCCGGGCAAGUGCCCAGGGUCGCUGGGCGCUGGCUCCGCCACUGGUUCCAGAAAAUCUGUCAUGAAUGAGUUGAUGUGGUUUUUGACGAGGUUCCAAUGUUUUCUAUAGAACCGUGGGCCGAAGCCGUCAGGUACGGGCCUAGCUAGGGGGUUCAUUUGAAGGAACACAUCUUUUAUUUCUUCGUUUGUAAAGGGAGAGUCCAGUGCGAGGAGUUGAGGUAGCGUUUGUGGGUAGUGUUGUUGUGGUUGUAAUGACCAGAAGGUGUGCAGUGAAGAACCAAUACUAGCUGUGAAAUGAUAUUUUAGAAUGGUCACCUUUCGGUUGUGAGAGUCGAACUCAAUCCCGUUGUCCAGGAGGGAUGUUAUAGUGUUCUUGCGAAUCCGUUGAGAGGCGGCUGCAUGAAAAUAUUCUGUGUUUUCCUCAACUUUUAUUGCAGUGUGAAUUUGGCCUCGCUGUUUCCCAGAAGGCCAAUUUUUCAAUAACAGUCGAGUGCAAGGUAUCUGAAAGAACAUUUCCUAACAUAUUUUCGGCUUUGGAGAGUGGACGAGCCUCUUCUUUUAGAUCGAUGAGAUGGAUGAUUUAUUUUGCAGCCGCUUCGCGAUGGUGUGCUGGGGAUCAUUUGGAAGGUACCCAUUCAUGGUAGUUGUUUUCCCAAAUGUGCGCCCUUUAGGGCUUGAAUCCUGGACUAGAUAGCUAGUCUAAGGUUAUGCACAAAACAUUAUGGGCCAACAUGGUAAACCGUACUUAGUAUAGCCUAGUAAGAAGAAUUCUAGUCGAUCCCUUGGGCUCUUCCUCUCCGGAUGAGCCGAUCACGGAUACCCUUGGCUGCUCCUUCUAUAUUGAUUGGCCCUUCCUCUCCCGGCUGAAUCCCACCCCGUGUCGUUGUCGCCUCAUGUCCAUGGUGACUCGCAGACCCAGGUCCACACACACAUUCUAUAUUGCAAUUUAUUGAUAUAUUUUUAUUAAGAACACACACUACAAUUCACAACGGCCCUCAGUUUUCUUGACACCGCCCUAUUAGGAUUGACGCUUGACUUGACUAGAAUUGAGUCUAGACCAUGUGUACUUUUUUUUGAAAUCACCUGUCGAAUCAACAUGUUGUGCACAAUCGUUCCGUCGAAAUAAGUGUUUCUAGAAAAAAAAAGGAUAUUGAUUCUCAAAGAUCACACAUUUAGGAAAAUCUCUCAAGUGGAAUUGUAAUAAUAGUAUUGAAAGGUUAAAGAUUCUAGCUACAAUAAUAUCAAAGUGCACCUAGAAGGACUAAACUUUCCGAUGACCUUAUCUUCAGCUUACUUGUAGUGUACAUGACAAACUAUUGAUUACCGGUAGUACACGACAUUCUGACUUCAUUUCAUUUCUUGGGAAACUNNNNNNNNNNNNNNNNNNNNNNNNNNNNNNNNNNNNNNNNNNNNNNNNNNNNNNNNNNNNNNNNNNNNNNNNNNNNNNNNNNNNNNNNNNNNNNNNNNNNNNNNNNNNNNNNNNNNNNNNNNNNNNNNNNNNNNNNNNNNNNNNNNNNNNNNNNNNNNNNNNNNNNNNNNNNNNNNNNNNNNNNNNNNNNNNNNNNNNUUUAUUUACGGCGACAGUUUCCUGGAUGAAGAUAGUCACCUGCACAUAGAUCCAUAAGAACGAAAUAAGACAGCAACACACAUUUAUAUGAAUGUAUACAAAUAGAUACACACACACACCCCACAUGUGUGUGUGUGGGGGGGGGGGGGGNNNNNNNNNNNNNNNNNNNNNNNNNNNNNNNNNNNNNNNNNNNNNNNNNNNNNNNNNNNNNNNNNNNNNNNNNNNNNNNNNNNNNNNNNNNNNNNNNNNNNNNNNNNNNNNNNNNNNNNNNNNNNGGGGGGGGGGGGGGGGGAUGCUUACGUGGAUGAACCUACCUAUAGAAAAAUAGGAAGAAAGAACGAAAUAAUAAGAAGAAUCUAUGCCGAUUUCUCAGGAGUGAGAUGACCUUCACUUCACUAGACAUAUUACAAUAUUAAUAUGUCUGACGGACUUAAUCAUGGACUACCCAACUGCUCCCCAUUUCAUAGUGUAUGUAAAUCUUGUCAAAGUAGAUUUUUUCCUAAGUCAAACUUUGACCAAGUUGACUUGAUCAAAGUUUUACCAAGACACAAUAUAUAUACCGUCUCCUCUAUUUUAACAUCAAUGCAUCGUAAUUGAACGUUCCGUAAAUUUUGUCUUAAUUCAAACAUAAAAAGAAACUGUAAAAAAAUAUAUAAUCAACAUAAAAAUAUUUCAUGUAAAAUUACGAAUAUACCAAAAUAGUGUAAAAUAUACAAAAAAUCAAUUAUUUCUGGUCUUGUGACUUAUAUUUUUGUUUUCUUAUGUCAAACUUUUGUAACUAUUUGUAUUUCAAAUGUAAUUUAUUUAUAAAUUGAUUGUAAGAUUAUAUUGGGUGAAGAAUAAACUAUUAUGCAUCCUGGAUGAUGAAUAGAGUUUCUACACACACACACACUCCAACCAAAAUAUGGUUAAAAAUGGGAAGUUUUGUUACCCUCUUCGAUGUUAGCUUGACAGAGUAGCAAUGUGAAUAUUCUCUCAUGUCCGAUUAAGUCCGACACUUAUUUCUAUAUCGUCAAUUUGAACAAUUAAACACAAGUUGUAUGCACAAAAAAAAAUAAACCAUUAAAACCUUCUUUUGCUACAAAUUUAAUGGUAUACUUCUGUGAUUUCGUUUGCCAAAUUGACGAUCUACAAAUACAUGCAGAUUUUAUAAACUGGAUGAGUGGGUGAGUGAGUGAGUGAGGGAGGGAGAGAGAGAGAGAGGGAGGGAGGAAGGGAGAGAGUAAUAUCUACCAAGGUGAGUGGACUGACUCGUGUCCUAUACACUGCACAAAGAAAAAUCGGUCGGCAUAAAUUACAUAGAAUUGUAGUAAAGUCAUGCACUUAAGAGGCUUGCUUACAAGCUGUUCCAGUUCUGUCGGGCGGAGGUCUGCCAUGCACAGAGACGAGUUGGAGGAACGCAAGAAACAGCAACACAACGAUAAUCCAAUGCUUGCUGCUUGUAGACAUCUUAUCAAUCAGAGCUCACAAUGACUAGAUACUGAGGCACUCAACAGAGCAUUCGAGCUGUUGUCUUGCCUUAUAUAACCGAUUCGAAGUCAACUUUUCACACAAUAAUCCAACAUUUAGUGGAUGACUAUGCCACAUGGUUCUUGGUCUUAACAACAAUAUAAGUAUUUCUUGUUUGAUUCAGAAACAACUCCUUAAUUAGCCUACUCGAUGCUGACUUAUUCUCUCAUUGACACAUUCAAAAACUGGUGUGCCAACCACAAUGAGAUGGCUUGAUAUCGAGCGCUGGAGAUGCUCUAUUGUUAAAAUAGAUCUUGGGAUGGUGCCACAAUAUCUGGUCAAACUAAGUAUGUUUAUAUGAGUUGAUGUGGAUGUUUGGCUUGGAGACUGAGUACCCAGAUGGCAAGUUGCAGUGAAAUUGAAUAAACGAAAUUCAUGUACAACUUUGCAAAACUGAUCGUUGAAAUUUGCAAGUGCAGUAGGUACACAUAUGUUGGUGUGUGGCUGAGGUUAUUCAACCAACCCCAGUUUUAUUUAAGCUGAUAAACUACAACUAUCAUUUUUAAAAACUAUAAUUCUAAAAGGAAUGCUGGUUUGACAGAGUAGCAGGUCGAAGAAGCUACUCUGGUUUGACAGAGUAAAAGGCACUGGUGUUACUCUUUAAAAUAUAUACCAGCGGCACUGCAUAUUCUAAGAGCACUUGAUAGUUGACAAAGAGGUUUCGUAAGAAAUCAUUGGUCUGAUUUGACUCGGCUGCAUCUACAACUGUGCAUUCUUAAACCAAACUGAAAAUACCGUACCGAUAGAAUGCAAACUAAGCCUAAAUUUAUGGCUUGUAUGUUUUAGGAUUUAUGUUGUGGUAUAUAGGAUUUAGAAACCAUAGAUACAGUGUUUUUUGGGCAUAAAACCUAAUUCUUUUUGUAAAACCGAAUUAACAAAGCUAUGACACAUUUUUAAGACUAUAUCUCGGCGAGUAGAACUCCUCGGUUAGGAUCUCCUUUGUCAUGGCUAUCGCUCCAGUCCAACAACUUAUUCAUCCACUCAUGCACAUACACAAUUUGGUGAUUUGCUAAUUAAUGGUACGUAUAGUAAGUUUUUUUUUUUGCAAGAAAACUACCAAUCUAGCAUGACUACAAGCACUGGAGCGAGUCGAAGACCCGCCAUCAUCGUCGUCUCUCCCCCACUGGAUUCGGGAAACCUAGCUUGUUGCAGUAGACAGUCGGGAGGAAGUCAUGCUAACGCCCCACAAGGCCAGCGCAUCAGAAUAACAACCAUUGCGGAUAAACAUAAGCGUAAAUCAGUAGACACAUGAACAUAGAUGAAAUAAGACUUGAUCCAAGCAGAUCAAUCAAAGACAAGCAUUGAUCGAACCCCGUGAGAUAUGUUAGAGAAAGACGUCCAAGACAAUGCUAGACGCGCCAUCAGGAUGGGGCUAGGCCGGGAGAACCUCGUUACAUCUUCAGGGAGCGACCACCGCCUUGUGUUCCUGAACAUGACACAAAUCCUAAUCCAACUCACGAAAGCACCUAAAAACAGAGCCCUCUCUCUGGAAGGGACCGGGAUCCACCACAUCUCCAAGGCCCAAAGGACAGAAAAGACAAGGUAAGGAAAACCUAUCUCAUGUUCGCCUUGCGUCGCGAGCAAAGAGUUACACUAUGCGGCUUUCCGUAGCAUGUUUAGGUAGGAUCACUACUACACAGUAAGCUACUAGGCAAUACAUCUUGAAUAUCUUUUUUGGCGAGGUAGAUGUUGAUUCGUUUUUCUUUGCGGGGAGAGAUAUAUGUUGGUCUGUAAUCAGCGGUGUUGGCCUGCAAUCAAAGACUCCGUCAUCCAUGCAUUCCAGAAGUUUGUCUCCUUUAAUGGACGUUUUUUUAGCCAAAUCCGGAUUUCGUUUUGCUUCUCACAGUCAGUCUACUCGACUCUUUUCCCUACCAUCCCCUCCUGGGCACUCAUUUCAUUACUUUCGUCCACGGUACCCUCACUUGUCGAACAAAACCUUGAUCACCCUUAUUCCAAAUAAGGAGGGAGCUGUAGAAUGGUGUGAAUGUUCACAUAGUAAAAAAAUGAAAUUUUGUGCUCUCCUUUUUGAAUUUGCAUCAACUUUUGUUAGUUCGGUAUUGACUGAAACCAUGUCGAUUUUUUGUCAAGUACUAAAACCGGACCACAUUUCAAUUUUAUGCCAUAUUUACCGAAGUAUUGGUACCAUACCAAUAAAACUAUAUUUACCAAACUAAAUGCAUAGAGUUAGUUGCCUCCCUACCUCACCCGUCAAUUAGAAUUAGGUGAAUACCAGUGAUUGACGGGGUGUACCAUAUAACCACAUACAUAUACAUUCUAUUCCCCAAAGAAGAGUAGGGGAGCGUAAGGUCAAUCCCAAUGUCCUUCACUUAUUUUUGCUACGUAAACUUGCCAUUUAACUUAGGCCCUGUUUGGAACCACAAUAGAUUAUAAUAAUCUAGAUUAUGAAGAUAGAUUAUAUAAUCUGGUUUAUAAAAAUAAUCCAGGUGGGUAUGUUUGGAGGCCAGAUUAUAUAAACUGUAAUUCAGGUUUUACAUUGUACAAUGACAUGUCUGUCCUGUAUAAAAAUAAAACGAUGGCGGUGGCAGUAGGUAAUUAUCUUCAAGUUUACAAGGGUAAUAGGUCAUUAGUAAUCCAUAAUCUGAUUUUAGCUGGGGUAGAGUAGAUUAUGAGUUUUUAAUAAUCUGAUCAUCUAGUUUUUAAAAUCUACAACAUAAACUAUCCUGUUUGGAAACAUAACAGAUUAUAAAAACCAGAUUAUAUAAUCUUGGUGGUUCCAAACAGGGCCUUAGAUACUCCCCAUCCAAUGAGUACUUUUUUAUACCGACCAAGUAUUUAAAAUAGCAGACCUCACUAUUAAAGAUUGUUAAGUAUAAUAUAACUGGAUGAUAAGUAAGAGAUACAAUGAUCUAUGUGUUGAUUUGUGUGAAGAGCAUUGAAUCACCGAGGAGAAGCCAUCACACAUGACACUGUAAUUUAUUAAUAAUGUUCACGCGUAUAGGCCACAUCCUUAGGGCAUGACUAUGGGCACUACUCUUCAUGUUCUAAGGGCAUGACUACUAGCGCUGCUCUCCUUGUACUAAAUAGACAUAGUACAAGCACAAGAAUCCUACCAAGACAAUCAAACAACGUCCUCAAAACCACCUGCCCAGCCGAUCCUUCCACGUCUACCAUAGAGGCCCGGACCAUUCCUCUCGUGAUCUUUGUCUACUUUACCAGUUUCAGUGUAUUCUCUUUAGCUACCCUGGCGGUGCCUUCAUAUAAUAGGCCCACACGGUUUGACUCGAAGACAUUACUCCGGUAGUUACGAGUCUAACCACAGCCUAACAGGUAUACACAUAUUUGAACUUUUUUGUUAACUUCAUGGCGAUAUAAAGUAAGAAAACUAACAUGGAUAUCUAAGAGACAUUGCCAAGGAGGAGCACUGGAAGAGGCCUAAGUACUCCCUCUGGCCAACAAAGUGUGACAUAUUGUACAUGUCUUAAGUCAAGUCAGGAGGUUAAUACUUGAGCCACCAAUACGAUUCAACAAUUUUGAUUUGAAAUUAAACGACAUAAACAUAUAUAUUUUUUUCUCAAGAAGUAUUUUCAGAAUAUUAUAGUUUUGUUGGCUAUCAUACAUAUAAUAUUUUCAAUAAUCUUUCAUCUUACAUUUUAUAAAUAAACUGUCAAUUCAUCAUUUCUUUUCUUUGUUUCCUCACUUUAGUCUUAACCACAACCAUCGAUUCAUCAUUUCUCUUCUUUGUUCGUCGCGGUAGUCAUUAUGCAUUCUUAUUAUGUUCAUCUAUUCUAAUUUGUCUUUGUCAAUCAUUGUGAUUUCUCGGAGGUAUCAAUUAUUUGCCAGAAUCCCCUAACUAGACUUUCAAGUAUGUGCAUGUAACGCAAUGGGUUUGAGUGGGAUGCGUAUGUCGAUGGUGAUGUACUCGUUGACGUUGUCUCAACAUGUUUGUGAUAGGUUGACGAUGGUAACAUAUGAUUUGCAGCUAUAGCAUUUGUUUAGUUUUUUUUUCUUCUGAUUUGGUGUUUUUGCUACAUUGAGUCAACAAAUUCUAGUUUGGAGAUCAUCAUUGCGGCCACUCUCUUGUGUGGCUGAAACAUAUAGAUAAACUAGAUGAUACCGCACACUUUGUUGUGGAAAUGUGUUGCGGUACAUUUCAAUGCAAUAUUAUUGUAUCAAACAUCCAUAAUUGAGGUAAUAACAUGAGAACUAAAAUAAAAAAUACAUAUGAUUUAUUGUGUUUUAUCAUUGCAUGUUCUAAAAUAUCUAGCAUAGAAUAUAAAUUCUUAUGAAUGUUUGCAUGUUGAGGUGUUCUUUAAUGCAUGGUUGCACGUCGUGCUGGAGUGAUUUCUUAUGCUUGUUGAUGUGAAAGCAAUAUGAUUUAAAACCCACUUAGAACGUACUAAUGCAUGUUGCAUGAUAUUGGAUACACAUGGGUACAAUGGAGGGUGAUAGCGGAUCAACCUAGUAAUCCAACGACUACAACAAUUUGAAUGAUAUGGAAGCACGCGUGUUGAGGUAAUUAGAAGUAGUUGGUAUCACUCUCUUAAGAUGUAAGGUAUGAUGUAUCUAUCAUCAUAUAACUGUUAGAUUGAUCUCUUUCCCAAUGGGCCCAAUGGCCCAUUGGACCUUGACUCACGCCCUGAUCGGGGGCGUCCAGCCCAAGCAAGGUUGGUGGGCCCCUGUCGUGCAGUGCUGUUUAUAGAGGAGGUGGGGACCAUGGCAUAGACUACGAGGUUCGCCNCCACGGGAUCUAUCAAUGGUAUCAUGAGCCAUGAGGCUUUAGAUGUUGUUCCGGUUGCAAGAAGAUAACGAAAGCGAUAAAGUUUACCCUCCCGGAUAUGAACCCUAGAAGAGGGCAAAGAUCAAGCUGAAAAGCAAAAGAAAGUCACCGGAUUUCCAUUCGGCAAAGAAGCGCCGCCGCAAGGCCGCGCCUGUUCCUCUCGAUCCCCACACGCAUCGGCAAGCCGAGGUGUGGGGAAGAAGAACCUACCUUCUCAAAGGCAAAGUAUGGAUCUGAAAAGAUCCAAAAGGAAAACAAAGAAAGGAUCUGAUUAGAUCCAAAGGAAAAAGGAAAAACAAAAGAUCGGAUUGGAUCCGAAAGAGCAAAAGAAAAAGGGGGGGGGAUGCAAAGAAAAUUCCUACACCCCAACCGGGGCAAAGGGCACCACCACCGCGCCCUUGACGGUGGCGCGUUCACCUUGAAAGUGCUCGCGCGCACCGGCAAAAGAACGGAGAUGGAGCCACCGUAUCAUGCCGCUGUGCCAUAUCUCUACACGGAAAGGAAAAGGAGCACCACGGCCAACCCACUCGACGGCGGCGCGCUCACCGCAAGGGAACGCACAACCGGCGAAAGGGGAGGCCACGGCGCCACUAUCUCUUACUCUGCCGACGCCUUGGUUCUCUCUCUGUCUUGUAACUAGAUGGGGGAGGAGGGGCUAGUCGAGCAAGGAAAAAGAGAGAGAAAGAAAGAAAGGAAGGGGAGGAAGAAGAAGGGCAUGCGCGGUGCGGUGGCCGGAGAGGAAAAUAAAAGACUCGCGAGGGCCAGAAGAGGAGAAAGAGGCGCGUGGGCAGAGAACGCCUCGUCGCCGUCGCGGUGGCCGGCAGGCCAUUGCUGCCUCGGGGGCUCCCAGGGACUCUCCUCGAUGGGGCAAGGAAGCCGCCGCGUAAGGGAGAGCGCAAGAGGCCGCCGCCGCGGAGCUCCUCGGCGGGGCUAGAGAGUCGCCGCACGAGGGAGGCUCGGCCACCGCGGGGAGCGCCAAGAGAGNNNNNNNNNNNNNNNNNNNNNNNNNNNNNNNNNNNNNNNNNNNNNNNNNNNNNNNNNNNNNNNNNNNNNNNNNNNNNNNNNNNNNNNNNNNNNNNNNNNNNNNNNNNNNNNNNNNNNNNNNNNNNNNNNNNNNNNNNNNGAAAGAGCAGCGCGGUGGCGUGGCCCUGCCGGCGGCCUAAACGGCCAGGAGCUCGCAAGAAUGCACGUGCCCUCGGGCUGCUCGAGGCUGAGAGGAGCAAUGGGAGCGGCGCGGGGGGAAAUGAUGUUUAGGGUUUUCGCCUCAGGCCACAGGCUGGGUUUUUGUUGGAGAGAAAAGAGCGCCCGGCCGUCGGAUUAGAUCCGACGGUCCAGGGCGAAAACCUAGCGUCGGCGGGGGGCGGCUGGGCCUGCCAGGCCAAAAGGCCACAGACCGGCGCGAUGAAGAUGGGCCGAGGCCGAAGGCCGGCUAAGGCCGCAAGCAGGGCAAAAGGCGUGCACUGGUUUUUCGUUAAAACGUUUCCUUUUUGUUUUAUGUCUAUUUUAGACAGAUUCAAUAUAUUUUCUCUGUGCAUAUUUCUCCUACAAAAAUAUGUUUAGAAAAUAGCAAAGAAAAAUGUUCGAAGUUUGUGUAAAAACAAUGUUGAUUUUUCUGAAAAGAAAAAUAAAUGGUUCUGAAAAUAAAAGNNNNNNNNNNNNNNNNNNNNNNNNNNNNNNNNNNNNNNNNNNNNNNNNNNNNNNNNNNNNNNNNNNNNNNNNNNNNNNNNNNNNNNNNNNNNNNNNNNNNNNNNNNNNNNNNNNNNNNNNNNNNNNNNNNNNNNNNNNNNNNNAUUUUCAGAAAAAGAAAAGUUCAUGAAUUUUAUAAAAAAGAUUAUAUAUAAAGUUCAUGAAUUUUUAUGACAGAAUAUUUUUCUGUAAUAGUAACAUGUUUUUUUUUGAAAAGGAAAAUAAAAGGUUCUGAAAAUAAAAGAAAGAUUUUCAGAAAAAGAAAAAUUUAUGGAUUUUGUAAAAGAGAUUAUAAAGUUCAUGAAUUUUUAAAUUUUAACAGAAUAUUUUUCUGUAAAGAUGUAUGAAUUUUCAUAUUCACGUUUUUCCGCUGCAAAGUAAAAAGGUUUAGUCCUCCAAUUAAAUUGGAACCAACGGAAAAAUUUAAUUGGAAGAACUGUUAUUAGCAAAGUUUUCCCUUGUGGGUGAAAUAGGAUUCAAACAGUUUCCGCUAUGACAAUAGAAUGAUGUUUGUUUUAAAGUUAAAUAUGGUAUUGUUAUUUUCUGACCAACGUUGAUGAUAACAAUACUAUAAUUGUAUGAGCCAUCUUAUGUUUAAAGCUUAAAUAUCUGAUGAAUUUUGUAUCAAAGUGAUCAAUUUUUCGGAGCACAGAUAAAGAAAUGCAUAUGGUUAAUGAUGAUGAUGAUUAUUUCUUAGCAAAGUUGUUCAAUAGAAAUACUAUCAUCACAUUGUUUAUGAUUAUAUGCAUUAUUUCCAUUUCUGCCCAACGGUGAUAUGGAAUUAAUGCAGAAUAAUGAUGUUUUAUUCUAAUUCAGCCACAAGGUGUUUUAGAAUAUUCCAGAAAGUUUUAAAAGGUUUAAUGUGCAUGAUUUUAAUCAGACCAACGUAGGGUUAUUUUUAUGCUCAUUACCGUUGUUUAUUGGCUAAGUUUUCUCAGACUAAAAGUUAUUCAAGCUUUCACUCAUGAAAGCGAAUGUUUGGGUACUAGUGACCCGAAAGAUGGAAGAAAGGUCAUAACUUGAGGGAAUAAAUUCUCUCUAAAGAAUGGCUUCAAAAGAAAAGAACUCUUGGAUAUUAAUUCAAGAGAAGAAAAGAGAUAGAUCAUUGAGAGUCUUGGUUGACGAAUGUCUUUCAUGUACUCUCUAUGAUGGAGUCUCCUUUUUUUCAGUCAACAUGAUUGAAAUGAAACAAGCAACAUGCAUGUUUAAUUUGACCAACGUCGGAUCAAACAUGUGUGUCAAAGAUAAUUCAGAUUUAUUUCUGAAUUUGAUGCAGUCAAAAGAGCCAAUUAUGGCAUUUAUGAUGUCCCUUAAAGGGUAUUACCCGCAUGGCGGGAAAAGUCUGGGAAGAAUGCCUGCGUAACCGGGUAAAGUUGACAUUGUAUUAUGUCAACAAUCCGUGUAUGGCGGGAGAAAUUUUGGCAAAACCCUUAUCAUGUAUGACAGGAGAAAGUUAUGAUGACUCAUGUGCGGUUAAUGUGUCCCACUAUGGGAGAAAAGUAUGGAGUAGCUAUGAAGCUUUCCUAGUAUCGACCGUACACCUUAUGUGUAACGGUCAUUAUGCAAUCACUAAAUCCAGAAAGGAUAAAAGUAACAGACGAACCUAAAGACAAGAAUGAUAUGCAAGUGUGACUUGCAAAAGAGAUAAUGAUAAAGAACUCUGUUGAGUUUCUGAAAUGAAAUGAGGAAAAAGUACUCCCAUACUAGCUAACUUAUAACUUCAUUUUACAUGAAGUGAUAAGAUGAAUGAGCUAGAUAAUCGAAGUUUCCUCAUUUCACAAGAGCUAUGAAUGGGUUUCGAAAUUGUGGCAGAAAAGUUCUUGCCACAUUUCGAGGGGGAGAAAGAGACACGAAAUACAUUGUAGUGUAUUUCAUGACUCCUCUGUACUUUAGAUGAUGUAAUGCACAUUAUGCAUCUAAAGUGAUCCAUUAAUGAAGAAUUUGAUUGUCAAGGGGAGUACGACAGUCAUCUGAAUACCGUCAUUAUGAUACCCCUAAAGAAAAGAAACAGUUGUAUUUUCUGAUCUUUUAUUGUUCCGAAAGCAGACUAAGGAAUACAACGGUGGUGCUUAAAGUGUCAUAAAGAAGGAAGUUUAAAAAUACGCCAUUUCUUCAGUGAAGAUGGAGUAAUCUGGGGGAGCAUGUUGUAUGACCUAUACAACACCUGUUGUUAGCUCUACAAGGGAUCUUGUGAUACAGGUCCCUGUAAAACCUAUUGCUUUUUGGAAAUGGGUGACUAUAGAAUGAAUUUGCCUCUUGGCAAUGACAGAGCAACGACAACCCCAUAUGAAAUAAGUGCCAGUACCUGAGAUUUUGAUGGUCUCUAGGAAUGUGAAAAUCAGAUUCUUGUGACUACUAUAAAGUCUAUGUUGGUGAGAUUCCAUCAUUUGAAUUUCACUAACAUAGACUUUAUGAAGGGUCUACAAGGCAAAUGUGACUCCAAAGAAAAUAUGUAAAUGUGUGAAACAUGACUUAAAUCGAAAGAUUUUGUGCAAAGAAAAUGAGAGGACAAUUGCAUUCUUGCAAAGUUAUAGAAUGGGCAAUUCGUUUCCCAAUUCCUAUGCAUGUGGAUGAUGUCCUACUUGCUAGUGGUGAUGUCAAUCUACUGCAGGAGGAGAAAAGAAGUUCUUGUCCUCAAAGUUCAAAAGAAUAAAAGGGGGUAUUAGGAAUGUCGCAUGGACAUGCUAACAAAGAUAUCUAAAGCAUGCAUACGAGAAAACCUACGCCUGUUCUUAUAGUCAAGGGUAAUGGAAGUGGAAACUAUGGUGUUCCAAAAGUUAAUAAGAAAAGAUUGCAAACGGAUAUGGUACCAUAUGCUUCAGUUGUUGGAAGCUCAAGAUAUUACCUUGACACAAUUCACGUAUAUAUCCGGGUUGUUUUGGCAAUGUCCAGUCCAUAGAUAAAUCAAUGGAAUGGAUUCAAAGAUAUCGGCCUCAUGCUGAAAGAAAUAAAUGCUCUCAAAACAUUGUGAGUACAAAGGAGGACUUGUGAAAUGUAUAGCGAAAUCCACAAUUGUCGCUAACUUUCAUACUCGGAGUUUUGUGUGGAAAAUCUCCAAAUGAGUAAAAUGAUUGUCAUCAAUGUGAUGCAAUGAUAUGUUAUAGCUUGAUAUGAGGCUGAGGGACGGGCAACAUGGUUCAGGCUACCUAUACCCGGAGUGGAUAAUGGUUGACAACGACGAUUACCGUUUUAAGUUCUUUCGCUCCUGUCACAACGAGUCAAGUGUUGAUGCCAAACACACUGACAAAGAGUUACGUGUUGUGAAGGACAAAGUCCGGAAUUAUGGAAAAAUGCUUGAAGCAUAAAAGCAACAAACAAGUGUUUGAAGAUCUGCUUAUCAAAGGCUUACCGCCCAGUGUGUUCGGAGAACACACAGUCGACAUGGGUUUUAUGGUAUAGUCUAAUAUUUCCGGACAAUAAAGGGCCCAAGGUUAAAGAAUCUGUCUCAAAACAGAGAGGUACAUUGUGGCUGUCUGAUUCCAUCGGCAAUUGAGCCGUGACGAUGAAACAUGCCCUAUGUAUUGAUCUGUUACAAAACGGGUAAAAGUAUAUGAUGAGAUCAAGGGGGAGAAUGUUAGAUUGAUCUCUUUCCCAAUGGGCCCAAUGGCCCAUUGGACCUUGACUCACGCCCUGAUUGGGGGCGUCCAGCCCAAGCAAGGCUGGUGGGCCCCUGUCGUGCAGUGCUGUUUAUAGAGGAGGUGGGGACCAUGGCACAGACUACGAGGUUCGCCGCCGCCACUGGUUCCCCACUCUCUAACCCUAAUCCGAUCUAGAGGGAUGCACUGAAGCGACGGGAAGUCCAUCACCGCCACUACCAGAUCUCUCUCCUUCCCCACCGUCGUCACCACCUCACGACGGUCACCGGAGGGAACUCAUCGAGUUCAUCACAAGGUAAUGAUCUAUUACUAUUACCGAACACAUCUAGCCUUGACGAUCCACGGGAUCUAUCAAUAACAACAAUGUAUUUUUGUAUAAAUAAAUACACAUCUAAUUAAAAUUCAUAAUUACCAAUGCAAUUUAGGCCUUAUGCCUUAAGGACUUGCGAUACUUAAUAUAUAGCCUAUGCGGGACACACAUAUUAUCUGGCAAGAGUCCAUAUGGUAAACCAUAUCCGAAGCCCGCAAAAAAAGAAGUCCAACUCAAAAACGGCAACGUUGUCCAAUCCAUGAUAACUUCAUGAUGUCAUCGAUUGCAUUAUCCUACAUUAAGUUUUCCUUAAUCAUAUACAAGAAUAUGUUCUAUGUAUGAUAAUUUAGUCUAUGUAGAUUAACAUGAUAGGUUAACUGUCUGCAUUUGUUUUAAUAAUAUGCUAAAGCUAGAACAAGAUGAUGGUCUAUAUGAACUAUUGUGUACUCCUAUAAAUACUGUUAAGUGUGUACAUGGACUAUAUUGGAUAUACUCUUAACUGUGAACACUUGAUACUUGAGAAAAUAGCAGCAUCCGGUCAAACUAAAUGUGUUCGUUCGUGACGGUGUAGCUGAGGCAAUCGCUGGUGGCAUCAAAAGUCCAAGUCAGUGCAAUAUAUUUUAGACACGCAACGUACGUCCGAAUAUGUAUAACUAAAUGUGUGGCUGAGGUCGUCUACAGUUGAUCGAAAACGAAAUAAGAUGAACAAAGUCCAUGCCAUGAGCGAUAAUUCAAAGAGCAAUCCGUUGAAUCGAUAUGCGAGAGGCAAACAUCGUGUAGAAACGACUGGAUGCAUGCGUCUCUGUGUGUGGUCGAGGUUGGGAGACGUAUAAUGCGUGUGGCCCUUGAAUAAAACAGUGUGUGGUGACGCUAAACGUCUUACCGAAAUAAAUGUUCGUUAGGAAAUAUCAGGUUUGAUGUGGCCAGGAGCUGCGCCGGUCUAACUUCUUCAACCUGAACGCUAUCGCUAAUUUCUUCAGCCUGAAGGAACCUGUUUUAACUAGCUGUGUGUGAUUACGUGUGUGACUGGGACAGGAGGCGACUAAUGCAACAUCGCUGCAGGCCGGCCGAUUAAAACAAAAAUCAGUCAAAGUCAACUAGUGCAACUUGUCCAAAGCUGAUGUUGCACUAAUAUAUUAUAACCCCAAGCAAUACAUGCCACAUGUCCUUUCCCAAGUUCGUUGCUCUCACUCAUCUUCAGUUCAUCUAGCUAGGCAUGGUUCCAUCUAUAUAUAUGAACACGCUACCAUGAACCAAGUGUUCAUCCAGCACACAAGCAAAAAAAAUGCCUCGUCUAGCCACACACAACCUGUUCUUGCGGCUUGUUUUCACCACGAUUCCUUUGCUAAUCCUACUUCCCUGCGUGCACUCCACUGAUCUGGAUGCACUUCUCUGCCUCAAGUCCCAGCUCUCCGACCCCUCACGAGCACUAGCUUCUUGGAGCAACGUGUCUCUCACGCCCUGCGAUUGGCAAGGAGUGAGAUGCAGCACGCUUAACGCGUCUCGCGUUGUUUCGUUAGACCUCGAGUCACUAAACCUCACCGGCCAAAUAUUUCCCUGCGUCACGGAGCUUGAUUUCCUAGACAGAAUCCACAUGCCAAAUAACCAUCUCAAUGGCCACAUCUCCCCCGACAUCGGCCGGUUGACCCGGCUCACAUACCUCAACCUUAGCAUGAACUCCCUGGAUGGUGCCAUCCCUGAUGCCAUAUCUUCUUGUUCCCAACUCGAGACCAUAAGCCUGGAGAGGAACUCCCUUGAAGGUGAGAUCCCGCAAGCUCUCGCUGAGUGUUUGCUUCUCCGGGAAAUUGUUCUCAGCAACAACAAUCUUCAGGGAAGCAUCCCAUCCAGGUUCGGUUUGCUUCCCAACCUUUCUGUGCUAUUGCUCACCAGCAACAUGCUCACUGGAAACAUUCCAGAGUUUUUGGGGACUAGCGGUUCUCUCACGUCGGUGAAUCUAAGAAAUAACAGCCUCGGUGGAGGAAUCCCUCCUGCCCUGUUCAAUAGCACGACCAUUUCCUACAUAGAUAUGUCACAUAAUAACCUUUCAGGAUCUAUCCCACCUUUCCUUCAAACCUCUGCACCACUGCAAUACCUUUCACUAACUAAAAACUACCUCUCUGGGGGUAUUCCUUCUUCAAUUGGAAACAUGUCUUCCCUGUCUUCCCUUCUGCUUGCUCAAAACAACUUUCAGGGAAGCAUUCCAGAGAGCUUAGGAAAGAUUUCAGGUUUGCAAGUACUGAACUUAAAAGAUAAUAAUUUUUCUGGCAUUGUCCCUCUAGAAAUUUACACAAACACUUCCCUUACUUAUCUUAGCCUUAGUCUCAACCAACUUGUUGGGAGAAUUCCCACGGACAUUGGCUUCACUCUUCCAAACAUGACAGAGCUGAUACUAGGAGGAAACCAAUUCGAUGGCCCGAUUCCCGCUUCAUUGGGCAACGCCUCAAACCUCAAAAAUUUAGACCUUCGUCAAAAUUCACUCACUGGUGUUAUUCCUCCAUUGGGACACUUGAGCAGGUUGAAAAUCUUAGAUGUGGGGACAAACAUGCUUAAAUCUGGAGAUUGGACUUUCUUGUCUUCUCUAACAAAUUGUACUAAACUAAAGAUGUUAUGUUUGGAUUUUAAUGGCCUUGGGGGGACAAUGCCUACCUCUUUUGGGGAUCUUUCAAACAGCCUAGAGGUGCUUCUGCUAUCUGACAACCAACUGACCGGUGAAAUACCAUCGGAGAUAGGAAAACUCAAAGGCCUAACAGCUCUUGUGAUGCAAAUUAAUUCACUCUCAGGACGCAUUCCUGAUACCCUUGGAAAUCUUGUGAAUAUGUCACUGCUAAGCUUAUCCCACAACAAACUUUCUGGAGAAAUCCCACAGUCGAUUGGGAAACUAGAGCGACUCACUGAACUUUAUCUCAUGGAAAAUAAUUUGACCGGUCAAAUACCUCCUAGUUUAGAAGGUUGUAAAAAUUUGUUGUUGCUGAACCUUUCUUCCAAUAAUUUAUACGGAAGCAUUCCAUCAGAACUCUUUUCCAUUUCAACACUUUCUAAAGGCUUGGAUCUUUCCUAUAACCGACUCAAUGGGAACAUACCUUCUCAGAUAGGUAGUUUGAUGAAUUUGAAUUCACUUAGUAUAUCCAACAACCAAUUAUCUGGUGAGAUUCCUUCCACACUCAGCCAAUGCCUUCUUUUGGAAUCACUCUCUUUGGAGGCAAAUUUGUUGCGAGGAGAAAUUCCAAAGUCUCUUGGGACUUUAAGAGGAAUCAAUAAGAUGGAUCUAUCUCAAAAUAACUUGUCCGGUGAAAUUCCAGAUUUUUUGGAGUCAUUAACCUCCCUAUAUUUUCUUAACUUAUCCUUCAAUAACUUUGAGGGACUAGUCCCGAAAGGCGGUGUUUUCGCCAAUUCAAGUGCAGUGUUCAUCCAAGGAAACAAAAAAAUAUGUGCAAGUUCUCCAAUGGAACAAGUGCCACUUUGCACCACAUUAGCUUCCAGAAGGAAGAAAACCACCCAUGUUGUAGCUAUUGUGGUUCCACUUACUACUAUUGUUAUAAUCUCCCUGGCAUGUCUUGCAUUCAUUCUUCUGAAAAAGAAAGGUAUAGAAACAGAGGGACACGUCACCGCGUCGUUCAGGGAGCAUAACAGAUACUCAUACAUGGAUUUAUAUAAAGCAACAGAUGGUUUCUGUUCAGCUAGUUUUGUCGGUUCGGGAAGCUUUGGUAUGGUAUACAGAGGCCAUUCAGAAUUUCAAGACAUUGCCAUUAAGGUGUUCAGGCUUGACCAAUUUGGAGCAUCAAAGAGUUUCUUCGCUGAGUGUGAUGCACUAAGAAACAUUCGUCACCGGAAUCUUAUUAGGGUGAUUAGUUUAUGCUCAACCACUGAUCCAAGAGGAAAUGAAUUCAAAGCACUUAUUCUUGAGUACAUGGAACAUGGUAACCUAGAAAGUUGGCUCUAUCCAAAAGCUAACAAAGCCAACCCGAAAGCAUCACUAGGUUUGGGCUCAAGGAUAACAAUAGCUAUGGACAUAGCUGCUGCAUUAGAUUAUCUCCAUAAUCGAUGCAGCCCUCCUUUGGUUCAUUGUGAUUUAAAACCACGCAAUGUCCUUCUGGGUGAAGAAAUGGUUGCAUGUCUUAGUGACUUUGGACUCGCAAAAUUUCUUCGUGCAAACUCUUCAACGGGGAUUAGUAAGUCAUCAACUAUUGCUGGACCGAGAGGAUCGGUUGGAUAUAUCGCACCUGGUGAGCCAUGCAUCAUUUCUAUUAUAUAUUUAUAUAUGAUAUGUAUUAUAUAUAGAUACAUGUGUACAAAGUUAGUGUCAUGUAAAAGCAUCUAGAAUGUUUGUCAUACCUCAACAAGUGAAUAUUUCUCAAGAACUUUUUGUGUAACAUUGCAGAAUAUGGCAUGGGUUGCAAGAUCUCAACAGAGGGUGAUAUCUAUAGCUACGGAAUUAUUCUUUUAGAGAUGAUCACAGGAAAGCAUCCAACAGAUGAUAUGUUUCAGGACGGUAUGAACCUUCAUAACUUCGUGGAAGCAGCACUUUCACAGGAAAUUGGUGAGAUCUUAGAACCAAGUCUUAUGACAUAUGAUGGAGAAGGAGGAGAAAUUCUUCCAGUGGCUGAAACAAAAUGGUGUGUCACUAGACUAGCUAAACUUGGUCUAAAGUGUUCUGAUAUGUCAGCAAAAAGUCGGCCGACAACAGAGGAUGUUUAUGCUGAAAUCAUCAGCAUCGAAGAAAAUUUUACAGCAUUGCACCAUAGACAAAAUAAAUCGACAUCAUCGUUGUAACUCACCUCUAGCUAUUUCAGUUAGAACUAGCCUCGUCAUAUAGUUUUUUGAAAGAAACAAGUAUUAUGUUUGAAUGCAUAUAAGAUUAGCAUAUUGAUUUACAAAGGGAUUAACUUGCAUUGAGUAGUAACUGAGAACACAUGUGAUCCAGCAAUAGUGUGACGUGACUCUAGUUUAUCUACUGUAUAUUUUGGUAUGUAAUCAGCAUGAUUGCGCACAAAAUCUUUGUGUCCCUGUUGUAACAAGCAUGCAAUUAUCUAGUUUUAACAACACUGAUCCGACCCUUUUACUGGUGGUUUAAUAUCGACAUAGGCUCUGGUGAUGAUCUCAAAUGUUUGGAGCAGGAGGUAUAUAGUCUAAAAUCCACAGUUACUAAAUAUACAAGAUUACCAUUUCUUAAUAAAUUGUUUUUAAAAUGCUUCGACAAGCAGACCGUUAAAUUUUCGAAACCUCAUGAAUCUGAAAAAGUUCACGAAUGAAAAAGAUAGAAAAAUGCUUCGACAAGCAGACCGUUAAAUGCUCUGGUGAUGAUCUGAAAUUUGAAAAAGAUAGAAAAGAAAAAAAAUGAAAAAAAAGACCAAACGAACACAUAGAAAAACCAGCAAAAAACAAACACUAAAAAUACACCUGGGAGCAUCUGAAAACCGAACAAUUCAACAAUCAGUGAAGCUAUUCCCAUAAGUCUUACAUGAGCGACCUGUGAAGUGGGAGGUCCUAUUGAACGCAUUCUGCAUUCAAUAGUUGCCGCUUCGCACAGAGGUGUCUACUGGCGGGCUUUUCUGGGCCCGUGCGUUUCUUCGGUUCAUCUCUUUCGCUGCGUUUUCUCUCGGGAGCCCCUAUACGCCGCAAUCUGCGGCAGGAUGGCCGGGUUUCGCACAGGCAGCCCUCCGCCUGGGCCGGCCCACUGACCGUGCUUGUGUUGUUUCCCUAUCACGCGGCAAAAAAGAAGAAAAGAAUCGAGAGAAAACCGUGCUUGUGAUCCUAAGACCUUGCGCAGCGCAGGUCACUAACAACAACCUGUUAGCCAACAAACCAAUAUCAGCUUCUUUUCAUAAAAGGCACAGAAUAAUAUAAAAACAUAUAGCGGGGGUUGAGAUUUCGAUUUAUUUUUUUAUUUAAAAUCAGGAACAGUUUUGUAAUGGCGCAAUUAUUCAAAACUCCAACCUUUUUUUCGAAAAAAUGUACCCAAAAUUUUGUGUCUCAUUUUUCGAUAGUUGAAAAAGUUCAGAAAUCAAAAUUGUUUAAAAAUUAUUCUCACUCUAACAAAUUGUUCAGAAAUCAAAAGUGUUUGAAAAUAUGUUCGGUGUUUACAAACAAUGUUCACCAAUUUUAAAAAGUGUUUGUGUUUUCAAAGUAUUCCCAAUUUAAAAAACUCUUGCAUUCAAAAAAACCAUUCAUAACUUCAAAAAAUGUGCGAGAUUUUCAAAAAAUGUUCUUGUUAAUGCAAGGAGAAUUUUCUGAAUGCGAACACUUUUGUGAUAAAGGGAACAUUUUUUAAACUCCAAUUCACACGAACAAGUAGAACUUGAAAACAUUUUUUGAAUCUUGAGAACAAAUUUUGAAACCGAGAACAUUUCUGAAUAAUCCUGAACAAAUUUGAUAGCGUGAAAAAAAUAAAAGCACGGACAUUUUUUGAAUCUUUGGAACAAAAAUUGAAAACAAGAAUAAUUUUGAAAUGUUGUGAACAAAUUUGGAAGCGCGAACUAUUUUUUAAAACCAGGAACCUUUUUUCUAAUUUCCGAACAUUUUCUGAAAAAUAUGAAACAUUUUGAUUAGAAUUCCAGAACAUUUUUCAAAUUCCGGAACAUUUUCUCAAAUUCUGGAACAUUUUUUCAAAAUUCUGGAACUUUUUCUGAAAUUCCAUAAAAAUAUGUCAAUUUUCAGAACAUUUUUCAAAUACCGGAAACAUUUCGUCAAAUUCCAGAACAUUUUUAUCAAAUUUCGGAACAUUUUUUGAAAAUUCAGAACAUUUUUGAAAUAGAAACUGAAAAAAAGAAACAAAAAAGAAAAAAGAAAAAAGGAAACGAAAAAAGAAAAACCGGUUGAGGGAAUCUUCUAGAAAGUUCCAAAACCAUAAAAACCGGCUAAAAAAGUCUAAAAUGUUUCCAAAACCGAUAAAAACCAGUUAGAAAUCUUUGAAAAGUUCCUAAAACCGGAAUCGCUGCUACAGGCCGGCCCAACUUAGCGCUUCGAUCAACAGCCCCUUAUGCGAAAGGUCGAUAAUUUGACACAAUAUACGUCAAAUAGGAUAAUAAGAAACCAGGUGCCGAGUAAGAAAUCACCGCAAGCUUCACAUAUUUCAGUAGAUUAGUCUUACAACGACAAAACAAUGGGCCGACCCGAGUUUAGAGCUAGCGCUAAACGUUUCAGUAGAUUACUUUUCGCGGAAAAGAAAACCUACAUUAUAUUCAAUUUUAGUUUGUACUGUUUUAUGAUUUUUAUAUUUACUUCUUAUAUUGCUUUUUUGUUUUUAUUUCGGUUUUAAAGAUUUUUAAACCAUGUUCUUGGUUUCUUUACAACUAACUUACUUUUUCUACAGGUUAUUUCCUUCCUUUUCCCUUUUACGUUUUUAUACAGGUUCAACGUCAUUUCGUACCUAAUGAACGUUUUUUCUGUAUAUGUCAAACAUUUUUAGUGUAUGUCAGACAAUUUUUAAUACAUGCUGAACAUUAUUUUUGACCGCACACUAGAUUUUAUUUUACAGUAUACAACAAUGACGACAACACCAAGGCCUUUCAGUCUCAAACGAUUUAGAGUGGGUGAGAGUCGAAUAUCCUUAUAAUUUUGAAAUACAUUCAAUUUUUUUUAACGGUAUAGUGAAUAUUUUGCAAAUACAUGCUGAAUAUCUUAAAAAGAUAAUCUCAUUUAUUACUACUUUUUAAAUCUUGUUUUUUCACUAUGAAACAUAAACCCAAAAAAGGGAGGCAAAACGAAUAGAACGAAAAAAACACUCGAUACAAGAACCGAAAUCAGCUCGUCUUAGGCCCUGUUUGGAACCACCCAGAUUAUAUAAUCCAGUUCUUAUAAUCUAUUAUGUCUCCAAACAGGACAGAUUAUGGUGUAGAUUAUAAAAAUUAGAUAGACAGAUUAUUAAAAACUCAUAAUCUACUCUACACCAGCUAAAAUCAGAUUAUGGAUUGCUAAUGACCCAUUACCUUUGUAAAGUUUGAGAUAAUUACAUUCCUACCACCGCCACCCUCCUUUUUUUUAAAAUAAAACAGAGGGCGGACAUGUCAUUAUGCAAUGUAGAACCUGGAUUACAGUUUAUAUAAUCUGGCCUUCAAACAUGUCUACCUGAAUUAUUUUUAUAAACCAGAUUAUAUAAUCUACCUUCAUAAUCCAGAUUAUCAUAAUCUAUUGUGGUUCCAAACAGGGUCUUAUUGGAGCUUGAAAGGUAUACAUCUCAUUUAUUACUAUCCUUGUCUAAAAAAAAACCCUGGAAACUAUCCUAACUAAGCUGACUCCCGUCUGCUGCCUUAAGAGGAAACAAAGCUGGCAAGUUAUAAUCACACAAAAACAUUUUUUUUAAAAGAAAUAUAUUAAUAUCGCGAAGAUAUCAAUUAUACACAACCUUUGUACCAAUAAAAUGUCUUAAAGACAUCCAAGAUACACACAAUCAGAAAAGAAAAAAAUAAUUAAAAAACAAAAAAUAAAGGCCUCGUCACAGUGAACGACUCCUCUCAGCAGCAACACACAAACCACCAUCAAAGACAACACCCGGAAAACAUAAAAGGUCUCCAAAAAGAACGUCCACAAGAAGGAAGCAGAAGCACCGUCGUCGCCCGAUCUAAGAUCUUAGGUUUUCACCCUGGAAAAAGUUUGAGCUCUCAAAACAAUACAUUCAACGAAGCAAUUGCCAGACACAACCAAUGAACAUCAUACUCCCUCCGUCUCGGUGAAUAAGUCAUCUUACGAAAACCAAAUAAUCCCAAAACACUUAGGCAUGAUGCAUUAACUUUCACCUCGUUUCUUGUUUUUUGACAUGAAUAAAGGAAUCAACCAAUAAGAGACGUGAGGCAUGUAUGUUUUUAAUGACUUGAGACUAACUAGCACAACAUGCAUUGAUCAAUACAUUGCAUGCAAUGAUAUUAAUUAGCAAAUUAUUGUCGUGAUGCGACGAGAGCAAUGUUUUUAAUGUCUAGGGCCAGAUCAAGGAGGACCGGUCAUGCAGAUUAUUGUCGUGAUGCGACGAGAGCANNNNNNNNNNNNNNNNNNNNNNNNNNNNNNNNNNNNNNNNNNNNNNNNNNNNNNNNNNNNNNNNNNNNNNNNNNNNNNNNNNNNNNNNNNNNNNNNNNNNNNNNNNNNNNNNNNGUGAUGCGACGAGAGCACUAGUACCGCCACCACACCGUUGCCUCCUCCCAUGCCGACACCAUCGCCGCCAUGGCGGAGGACACCGGCCCACGCUACACACAUACCGCGGACGCCAGAUCAGAUGGAUCCCGUUCCGUCGCCAUCUCCUCGUCUGCAUAAUCCUCCACCUCGAAGCCCGUCGUGCGUCGUCGAUCCUGAACGACGCCGUCAUGGGGAUACACCGGCACACCACUGUGACCCUCGCCAUCGCGGUAUCGCGGCCUAGCCCCUUGGCACCCGCCGCCGCCGACGCCGGCCAUGCUUUGCCCGACCGCAUCCUUUGGCGGCGGUGAGAGGGAGGAAGGAAGAGAAGGUGUUGGUGGCGGCGGCUGCGGCACCCCCCCCCCCCCCNNNNNNNNNNNNNNNNNNNNNNNNNNNNNNNNNNNNNNNNNNNNNNNNNNNNNNNNNNNNNNNNNNNNNNNNNNNNNNNNNNNNNNNNNNNNNNNNNNNNNNNNNNNNNNNNNNNNNNNNNNNNNCCCCCCCCCCCUCGUCGUCCACGGGAGGGACAUGGGAGGUUCCAGAUGCGAUGUGGAGAACCUCAGGAAACGCACAUUACGGGAUUACGGGGAAGUUAUGCCAAAAAUAUAUUUGUGUCCCUGUUGCAACGCGAAUGUAAUUAUCUAGCUUUACCUAAAAAUGAAUAGUGAACGGACCCUUUUACUGGUAACUGAAUACCGACAUAAGCUCUGGUGAUGACUCAAAUGUUUUAAACACAAUGUACAUAGGCUGAAAUUCAAUGUUAUUGGGCACAUGCAUCACGUAGCCGAGAGGUCUUGUUCCAUGCAUAAGACUUUGGAAAGCAAUCAUACGUGGUUUGGCUCCUUUAUCAAUUUGGACAUUUUCCGUCGCCGUAGUGGGUCAGCAUAGGCUCGGCCGCCACCGGUUUUGAGCCUUAUUUUCAGAAUUUGUUGUGUACAAGAUUUUUCAAAAUCGUAAAAAAAUUCUUCUAAUUUCAAGAAGUCCAUGAAACUAAAAAUCUUGGUGAAUUCAAAAGGUUCAUAAAUUUAGGAAAUAUUUUAGAAUUUUGGGAUAUCGUCGUAAUAGAUAGACUUUGGCAAGGUUUCAUUUUUUGGCAAUAGCAUAUGUCAUGCACUAUAGAAGUGUGGAAUUAUACGAGUACUAGCUUUCUUUUUCUUCUCGUAAAGACGUUUUUAGCUUUUGAUUUUUCUGGUGCACUAGAGGUGUUGGCGAGUUGCGUUGCGGAGUGAGGGAUUCAUGAAUGAAAAAGAAAAAGAAAACANNNNNNNNNNNNNNNNNNNNNNNNNNNNNNNNNNNNNNNNNNNNNNNNNNNNNNNNNNNNNNNNNNNNNNNNNNNNNNNNNNNNNNNNNNNNNNNNNNNNNNNNNNNNNNNNNNNNNNNNNNNNNNNNNNNNNNNNNNNNNNNNNNNNNNNNNNNNNNNNNNNNNNNNNNNNNNNNNNNNNCUCCUAGUAGAGACUUUGGUAAGGUUUCCAGGUUUCUAGCAAAAGCGCAGUGCACUACAGAAAAAAAAAAUAGAGUAGUAAAAUGGGACCAUUGAGAAUAGAGUUUGAAUUAUAUGGACAUCUAAAGGAAGGAAAGAAAUGAUCAUUGGAUGUAUCUAGUAAUGUUUUAUAGUGACCGUGACCGACUUAUUUACGUUUUAACACACAAAAGUUUCUCGGAAGUCUUGCAAGAAUAGAACUGUUCGACUCACUAUCUAACAGAAUGUAAAAUAUCCUCAUAAUUCACAUCAACGUGACAAAAUGUGUGGUAACAAUGUAGUAUAUAGCUUAUGUUCUUGCUUAUGCAAUGUAGUACAUAUUUUUCAAACAGGACAAAGUUUGUGGGCGGGAAUAGAGGUUCUUACCUUGACUUUUCUUUCUAGUACGAUACAUGAUGAUGAUUAUUGACUUAUGAGAGAAAGGGACAUAGUUGAGUUGUGAUGUGGGGAUCACUUGUCGUGCCACGAUGUGAUUAGCUUGAGUUUCAGUUCCAGGCAAUAAGGUGUAGUAAUGGUUUGUGGAAAUUAGGGACGUGCCUAGCAAUCAGCCCCAUUUGAAGAAGGUGACUGAAGUGACACGAGGGAACUAAAUUUUAGAACCAGAAUUAGAAUGGUGAUAUGAUGUGCAGCGAUGGCGUUGCGGCACUUUGGUCACAUGUACUCCCUCCGUCUCGGUUUAUAAAUCAUUUUCGAUUGUGCACCGCGACCAAGACAGAGAGGAAACGAGAGAAAUUAAUAUUAAUUUGCUAAGUAAUACCAUUGCAUGCACUGAAUUGACCACUGCAUGUCGUGCUAGUUAGUCUUAAGUCAUUAAAAACAUGCACACACCGUGUCUUUUAUUGAUUGAUUUCUUUAUUCAUGUCAAAAAACAAGAAAUGAGGUGGAAAUUAAUGUAACACGCCUAAGUAUUCUGGGACUAUUUAAUUUUCGUAAGAUGUCUUAUAAACCGAGACAGAGGGAGUACUAUAUAUGGUCACAUUCUCUUUCACAACCACGAUCUCCACCAUCUACUACUAUGGCUAUAUCCUUUAUUACCCAGCUACCACUUUACUUAUCUCUCUUGAAGCAUGCCCAACAUUUUGCUAUAUUGCUAUAUAUGGUCAUAUCGUACCACGGAAACAUAUCAUUUUGAAUGGAAGAGCAACCUCCGGCAGAUUUUUUAUUUGGAUAGCUAUAUAUAUAUCACAGUGGUUAGUCAAAAUUGCUGAAGAGACGUGCUACAUUUCAAAAAAAAAAUAUGGCUGAUUUGUUGUCUCUUUUGCCCUCCUCCAUUUCCUUUCCAACCAACACCACCUUCUUGCAAUCCACUGCUAAGGUCCACACAUGGAGAAGAUCGACCCCGUUGUUACCGCAUGGAAGUAAUUCAUACCAUAUAUGUUACCUGUCGGCGAACAACCAGUCAUUCCUCGUUGCUUUGAGAUUCGGAUUGCUUGCCCUCAUCUAAAUGGGUUCAACUUAAUUUAUUUUCGGUGUGUCCUCCAUUUAGUUUGUUUUGCUGCAAGACAUAUCGCGUUCUCAUGAAUGGGAAUCGACCAACAGUGAGGGAGUGAAGACGAACAAAUAGCCCAGUGCACGUUGUAGCGCCAUCACUUCUAAAAAGUUGUACUAUCUGGCCUUCUGUGAGAAAGGGUCAUUCGAGCGUUCGUCCUGAUGAGCCGAUGCUACAACGUUGUACGUGUUUGGUUUUCAAAAGCUUCUACAUACAUUGGACAUCCGUUUUGUGAAGGUUAAGACAAGGUAUUUUUCUUCUCUAUUAUUUCUAUCUUGUUAUCAGCUUUCUUAAGGUUUUUUCUUUUAUCUUCUUAUUUUCAUUUAUAAUUGUUUCUCUUUUUGACUUACAUUUUUUUUUACAAAUUCAUGAACUUUUUUUAUCCUCUGGGUUUCAGUGUACAAAUAUUUUAUUGCAUGUCAUAAAUUAUUUUUUAAAAUUGGACUAAUUUAUAUUACAUUCAUGAACACUUUUUAAUAACGUGUGAAUUUUCUUAAAUGCUAUGAAUAUAUUUUUAAAUGACACAACUAACUUUAAUAUGUUACAAGCGACUUCAAACAAUCGCGCGGACAAAUUUUUACAUUUCAUGAACAUUUUUCAGAUGUCUUUACCAUAAUUUUUAACGGAUGAAAAUUUAUUUAAAUGUCACGAACAAUUUCUUAAGUGGUACACAUAUGUUUUCAAAUUACCCGAACAAUUACUUACUUUUCAUGAACAUGUUUCUAAAUGUGUGAACAUCUUCUCGAUGUCACGAACAGGCAAAUUAGCCCUAGACAAAUCCAGCAAGCAACAAUCAUGGACAAAGCAGGAUGACAGUGAAAUGCUAUGGUAUAUCACAUACUAUAGCGUAGAAUGGAAGCUCUUCAUCAGAGCGUACAGGUAAACGACAGCAACACAUCCAUGCUUCGUUAGGUCGAUAGGUUCGGUACCGAGUGACCAGGCAAACUACCAUAUUACCGCAGAUACUAAUGGUUACACUGAAUAGAUUACUAGGUAGUACACAUCACACGACAUGCAUGUCCGUCUCUUUAUUUAGAACAGCAACAAAGCUAGAAGGAAGCAGAGGCGCCCCUGCAGCAGGUACAGUACUGCGUAGUACUCUCCAUCAUGUUGCUAUGCUCAGCUCGAGAUGCUGUGCACCUGGCCAGUGAAAUUACGAAACUGUAUCAAGAUCAAUGGCAUUUCAAGUUGAGACAAGGAACAACGGAAGUGCAAACAUUUGAGGAGCGAGCAGAAAAUUUAUUAAUUAGUACUAUUUUAUCGAUAUCUACCAACGUGUGGCGGUUUAGUACAAGAGUAGCAUUGGUGGUUGGUGAUGAGUGAUGACUGGGGCCGGACAACAAUUAUACUUUCAGUUGAUAGCAAACAUGCAUGCAGACAGAACCUACUUGACUACUACUCGCUCCGUUUUUAAAUAUAAGUCUUUUUAGAGAUUUCAUCAGGAAAUUACAUACGGAUGUAUAUAGACAUACUUCAAAGUAUAGAUUCAUUCAUUUUACUUUGCAUGUAGUCAUUUAGUGAAAUCUCUAAAAAAGACUUAUAUUUAAAAACGGAGGGAGUACUCGCAGAACAUUACUUGCAUCAUCAUCUUCUACCAAUUUGUUGGUACAAACAAAACACGAUGUUCAGACUUGAGAUACACUACUUUUGAAGAAGCCUACUGUUGAUGUUGAGCUUAGUUUAAUUAAUUAAUGUUGGUUACCUGAGUAAGUGGGCGAUGCUCCGUUACUCUGCAGCCACCAUGUUGCUGGGCUUGGGGUUCGUCCUCCACAGCGACAGUGCAGCACGGACGUAGACGAGGGCUUCACCCACGAAAAUGAAGAAGAGAGCCACGCGGCCGACAAGAUCGAACAACUCUGGAUAUCCAUACUUGUAUAAAGCGAAACAGAUGGUUCCCGUCAACGUCGCCAGAAGCAGAAGAAACUGAAGACACAAGGAAAACUCAUCAUCGCCGGAAGGUCGCUCCUCCACAUCCUCUGCGUCCGCAGCCUAUCACAUUUGAGGAUCAUCAUCAUCAUCAUCAUGACUCAUGAGAAGCAGAACCAUGGUACAGACUACAGAGAGGCAUGCAUGGAACGGAGAGGCGUGGAGAAGAGUGAGUACAUACCUUGCUGCUGCUGCCGGCGCCGCGGAGGAAGAAGAAGAGCAUGAUCGCCAGUGGCAAGAGAAGCGGGACGAGUAUGGCUAGAUAGCCAGGUAUCAGCGACAUGACGUUGGCCACGGCACAGCCCCAGCCGUCGGCGCAGGCCCGGUCCGCGACAAAGGCGAGGAGAACGGCCACGGCGAGCGCGUAGAAGGUUACCUUCGUAGCCAGCUCUUCUUCUUGAGUCAUCGCCAUUUGGGUGUGGAGUGAAGUGGUCUGGUCGGUGAGUCGGUGAGGCUUCUAGCUGGUGUUAUGGCCUGGGGGUCUUGUGGGCUUUUAUAGUGAGCUCCAAGCUGUAGCGUUGGAUUCUUGCACGUAAUCAAAAUUUAAAGCAGGAAUUUCGCAUGAUCUUUAUAUAAGAAUCCAAUUAUUUCAUGUGUCCUCCUUAUGCAUUUUUUGCAGUCACCACUGAUCUUAUAUUCUUCUGUAGGAACGUAACAACUUUCUCAUCAUGUUUGAAUGGCCGGUAGUCCAAGUGUGUGGAAUUAAACCAGUGCUGGCAUUCCUUUCUAUGGAAAAUUAGCGUAACAUUUUGCUGCCACGGUGAUGGACCAAUCAUUCAGUGCUAUAUAUAGCCUAUAGGUGGUUGUUGUCGAGUACUGGCAAUGUCGAGUGAAAAAGACAAAGACACAUUGUUGUCUAAUCAUUUCUUGUGCCAUUUUAGGAUACCCUCCUAGUAGAGACUUUGGGAAGGUUUCGGUUUGUCAGCGGUAGUGUGGUGCACUACAAAAAAAAGCAGAGUCGUAAAAGGUGGCCAUUGAGAAUAGUCUGAAUUAUAUCGACAUCUUAAUUAAUGAAGGAAAUAAAUUUUCAUUAAAGGUACCGGUAGUGUUAAUUUCAUAGUGACCAUGAACUAUUUACUUACAUUUUAAAACACAAAAGUUUCUCCUAACUCUUCUGAGAAUAGCAACAUUAAUCUUCAAAACUAAUCCUAUCCAUCAGAAUCUAUGUUGUUACGUAUGAUAUUUCAAAUCAAUGGAACAAAGUGUGUUGUAGCAGUGUACCAUAUAGCUUGUGAGCAAAGAGAGCCUUGGCUCAGUGGUUGGACAUGCGGUUGUGCAGCCCAACGACCCGAGUUCAAUUCCUAGAACUGAUAGGUGAUGCACAUGGAGUUUUCUUCCAUUUAUUGAGGAUCAAGUUUGGCGUGUGGUAAAACCACUCAUUAAAAAAAUCUUGAUACUCAUUUAAAGAAAUUAUGAGGACCAUGUUUAUCUUGGUACUCAUACUAAAAUGGCCGUAUGCAUCCCUUGUUGGUGCAGAGGCCAGUGAAAAUCUCUCCCAAUUUUUAAAGAACAGCAUCCGCACAUCUCUCCCCAGCCCCUGCCGAACACCCCUCGCGUCGCCCCCGCCCUGGGCGACUCGGGGGCUCCCAAGCCCCAGGCGCCGCCGCCGCUCUCUCAUCCUCCCCUCCUCGCCGCCGCCGGGUGACGCCGCCGGUAAACCACGUGUGGCAGACGGCGGCGGCGGGGGACUCCCUCUCCCGGCUCCCCUUCCUCCGCGGGCGGCGGAUCUAGGUGGUUGAUGGCGGUGGCUUGUGUCAAUCGCGAUCGGGCGCGAGGGGGCAGGCCUCGGCGAGCAGUGGUGGGGAGUGGGGCGCACGGCGGCGGCCCGCGGCAGGUGCUCCGGCGGGUGCAGGCGGUGGUGGCCCCUGUACGCGGUCGGUGGAUCCCUCUUUGACCUGGACGGUGCUGGGGGUGGCGGCGGUUGCGGCGGCGGUCCUCGCUGGAUGCUGGUGGCCAUGGUGUUGCUUCUAGUUGACCCCGAUCUACUCCGAUCUGCAGCGGAUCCGGCCCCAGAUGGUUUUUCGCUGUUCUUGGGUGCUGGCCCUGCAGAUCCGGUGGUUGGAAGGGUUCCGGGGGAGUCCCUUGGCCGGUGCGGCGGCCACUCCGAAGGGAGCGCCUUUGGGUGUUGUUCCCCUUGUUGGAGGCUUUGGAGAGGAUCCCCUUCCUUCCACCCCUCCCAGGAGCUCAGGUGAAAACCUCAGAUCCCCUUGGUCCAAGCGACGACGACACCGCGGUGGCGUGUUCCUUCCUGAAGGCGUUGCUCGGGGGCUGCUCAAGCGGUGGUGGAGGUGGCGGCGGGUCGAUGUCGGCGCAUUUUGGCCUGCUACAUCUUGGAGGCUGUGACGUUGGCGGCGCUCGUCUGGUGGAGCAACGGCAUUGUUGUUUGCGUCAUCAGGCUUUGGAUGCUCCGGGGGAAACCCUAGAUCUGGGUCUUCCUGGAUCGGACGAUGAUGGCGUUUUAUCGCCCUCCCUCCUGGGGGCAUCGUUUUGGAGCAAGUGUUGGCUGGAGGAAUGGUGGAGCGGUGCUUCAUCUCACACAUUGAUGGCGGCGGAUAUCGGCGGCAUGGCGCUGUGGGGACUCGGCGUCCGAUGCGUGGAGAUGGACUCGCGCAGGAGGAGGUAGCUAUCUGGCGUCAUGGUGACGUCAAUGGCAGAGUGGCUACACAAGGUAGAAGCCUCGAUAUUUGCUCUGAAGACGGACCGGUGGAAGAUGGCGGCGAUAGCACACGAGUGCGUCAGAUCGGUUUUGUGCCCUAGACCCGGUAUGUGGCAGAUGGCUUGACCGGAUCUGUCGGGGCUUCCGACUUUUGAUGUUAGGCUUAGGUAAGUGAUCUGGGUAUGUGGCCCAGCUAGCACCCCUUCAUCAUAUGGAUAGGAGUAGCGAUAGAUGUUGCGAAGAUGGUGGAUUCAGACAUAUUGUUGUAAUACUUUGUAAGGUCCUCGAGAAUAAUCAAUAAAAUGGCCGCAUGCAUCUCCCUGAUGCAGAGGCCGGGGAUCAUCCUCCUUUUCUAAAAAAACCAUAUAGCUUGUGUUCUUGAGUAGUUUUCCACUUAUUAUCAAAAUAGGACAAAGUGCGUGAUUUGUCCUAGAGGUUCUUGCCUUUAUUUAUCAUUCUAGUGCACGACGACGGUGGUAGACUUAUGAGCAAAAGGGAAAUAUUAUUCAGUGGUGUGUGGUUAACUUGUCAUAGCACUUUGUGAUUAGCUUCUGUAUAGUUCUAGCUGGUAAUAAGGUGCAAAAAUUGAAGUGCACGGUACAAUUAGUGAUGGAAACGGGGAAAAGUUGCAGUGAGUGUAUAGCUUUGUAAAUAAGCCUUGAACCUGUGGAGAAACCCAAACGUGGCCUUUUUUUUUUUUGAAAAGGAGGAGUACCUCCGGCCUCUGCAAUAGUACCCAAACGUGGCCAUGACGAGUGUAUUUCUCUUUAAUGGAACAAGAUGUUAACAUGUUUACCAGAUUUAGAAAUGCUACACUAAGUCGUAGUUUCCCUUUGUUAAAAACAUGCCAGGAAUGCAAAUUCGUGAUUAGGACGCAACCAUACAAGACACCCAGAAACUUGUGCGGUGCAAUGCUAAUUAAUGUUGCUAGUAGUAGUACUAUUAACUUUUUAGUAAUGGUAGCCAUCAAUCCCAUUUGAAGAAGGGUACUAACGUGACAUGAGGGAACUAAAGAUUAGAACUAGAAUUGGAACUGUGAUAUGAUGUCGUGAUGGCGCUGAUGCAUUUUGGUCGCACGUAUUAUUUUACGCACUAUAUAUCGCCAUAUUCUCUUUCAAAACAAUUAUAUCCAUCAUCGACUACCAUGGCUAUCAUUUAUUACCCAAUCCCAUUUGAACAAGAACGUGUAUAUCAAUCAAUCUCAUUUGAAGAAGAAGGUGACUACUGUGACACGAGGGACCUAAGGAUUAGAACUAAAAUUAAUGGCCGGUAGUCCGAAUGUCUGUAAUUAAACUAGCACUUCCUUUUUUCCCUAAUAAGUCGUUUUAGAUUUUGCUGACAUGACGAUGGAAAAAUCAUUCGGUGCUAUAGCCUAUAUGUGGUUGUUGUCGAGUAGUAUUGUGGAGUGAAAAGGGCAAGUGUGCAUUGCAGUGUAAUCACUUGUUUUUGCCAUUUUAGGACACCCUACUAAAAUACACUUUGGGAAAGUUUUGGUUUUGUGGAGAUAGCGUGGUGCACUGCAAAAAAAGAAAAAAGAAAAACAAGUCAUAGAAGGUGGUCACUGAGAAUAGAGUAUUAAUUAUAUGGACAUCUUAAUUAACAAAGGAAACAAACUAUCAUUACAGGUACGGUAAUGUCUCAUAGUGACCCUGAACAAUUUAAUUGUUCAAGUGGGCACUUUGUGAACCUUCAAACUAAUCAUAUCCAUUGGAAUCUAAGUUUUUCUCAGAUUUCAAAUCAAUGGGACAAAGUGUGUGGUAGCAGUGUAGUAUAUCGCUUUUGUUCUUUCUUAGAAUUUUUCCUAUUUUUAAAGUAGGAGAAAGUGUGUGGAUUGGUCUAGAGGUUCUCCUUGAUUUAUAUUUCUAGUACAUAAUGACGAUGAUUGACUUAUGAGCAAAAGGAGCAUGAUUAAUUAGCAAUGGGGGGAUCACUUGUCGUGCCACUAUGUGAUUAGCUUGAGUUCCAGUUGGAAGUACAGGGUAAAUAAUAAUUGAAACGAAAUAAAGUUGUCGUGAAUGGAUAGCUAUGUGAUGAAGCUUUGAACAUGUCAACACACCGAAACGUGGCCAUGAUGAGUGUUUUUAUCUUUAGUGGAACAAGAUGUUAACAUGUUGACCGGAUUUAGAAAUGCUACACGAAGACGCAACCAUGUCAGGAUUGAAAGUUCAUUAUUAAGACCCAACCAUACAAGACACCCAAAAACUUGUGUGGUGCAGUGCUAAUUAAUUAUUAUAGUAGUAUUGACUUUUGUAAUAGUAGUAGCCUAGUUUGUCGAAAAUAGGGACGUGUCUAGCCAUCGAUACCAUUUGAAGAAGAAGCUCACUAAAGUGACAGAGCGGACCUAAAGACUAGAACUAGAAUUAGUACAUUGAUAUGAUGUCGUGAUGGCCCUGCUGCACUUUCAUCACAUGUACUAUUUUGACGCACUAUAUGUGUCCAUAUUGCCUUUCGCAACUAUUAAUUCCACCAACUACUACUAUUGCUAUCAUAUAUUACGCAACUGCUACUUGACUUAUCUCAAGCCCAACAGCUUUGCUCUAUAUAGAUUUCAAAAUGGAAAUAUAGAUUUUGAAUGAAAAACUGAGUCCAACAUGUAUCUUUGCUAUAUAGAUUACUAUCAGUGGUCACCAAAGUUCCGAACAGCCAUACUAUUUUUCAAAUGUUUGGCUGCCCCUGGCCUUUGCAUCUCGGCAAUGCAUGCAACUAUUUUAUUAAUUAUUCUUCGUCGUCUUCUAUCCCCUUCUUUUUAUCCAUGCAACUAACACCACCUGCUCGCACCCCCCUCUUGUACCGCACACGAAGACUAUCGACCCAUGUGUUCCAACGUGAAAGUCAUUUAUACCAUGCACGUCACCUAAUGGCAAGACAUUAUAUUCAUCAACGACUACCAUGGCUAUCUUUUAUUGCCCAAUCCCAUUUGAAGGAAAACAUGUAUAGCCAUCAAUUUCGUUUGAAGAAGGUAACUCAAGUGACCCGAGGGAUUAGAACUAGAACGAAUGGCCGAUAGUCCAAAUUAUGAAAUAAAUUAUGUCGUCUUUCCUUUUCCGAAAAGUAGCAUUCGAUUUUGCUCUCAUGAUGAUGGAGAAAUCAUUCGGUGCUAUAGCAUGUAGGUGGUUGUUGUCGAGUAGUAUUGUGGAGUGAAAAGGACAAGUGCGCAUUGUUGUCUAAUCACUUGUUUGUGCCAUUUUAGGACACCCUCCUAAUAAAGAGUUUGGGUAACUUUCGGUUUUACGGAUAGCAUGGUGCACUACAGAAAAUGAAGUCAUAAAAGGUGGUCGUUGAGAAUAGAGUAUUAAUUAUAUGGUCAUCUUAAUGGAAGAAGGAAAGAAAUUAUCAUUAUAGGUAUCGGUAAUGUUUCAUAGUCACAAUGAACGAUUGAAUUACAAUUUCAAACACAAAAAGUUCUCCUAACUCUUCCGAGAAUCUUAAGAACUAACCUAUCCUUCGGAAUCUAAGUUUUCUCAGAUUUCAAAUCAUCUGGAAAAAGUUUGUGGUAGAAGAGUAGUAUUUGGUUUCCAUUCUUGCAUAGAUUUUCUCCCAUUUUGCAAAUAGUACAAAGUGUGUAUUUUGGCCUAGAGGUUCUUGCCUUGAUUUUAUCUUUGUAGUACGUGAUGGCGAUGGUUGACUUAUGAGCAAAAGCGACAUGAUUAGUUAGUGACAUGGGGAUCAGUUGUCGUGUCACUAUGUGAUUAGCUUGAGUGUCAGUUGGAAGUACAAGCUAAAAUUAAUGAUGUAAACGAAAUAAAGACGCUGACCAGAUUUAGAGAUAUGCUACACUAUGACCUAGUUUUGCCUUAUCAAAAGCAUACUUGGAUUGGAAGUUCAUCAUUAAGACGCAUUCAUACAAGACACCUAGUAGAAACGUGCGCGGUGCAAUGAUAACUAAAAGUUGUUAGUGGUAUUUACUUUUGUAAGAGUAGUAGUGUAGCCUGUGGGAAAUAGAGACGUGCCUAGCCAUCGAUCCCAUUUGAAGAAGCAGGUCACAAAACUGACACAGUGGACCUAAAGAUUAGAACUAGAAUUAGAACGGCGAUAUGAUGUCGUGAUGGCCCUGCUGCACAAAGCAGGUCACAUGUAUUAUUUUGACGGACUAUAUGUGGCCAUAUUAUCUUUCACAACCAUUAACUCCAGCAACAACUACUAUGGUUGUUAUUUACUACGCAACUGCUAGUAGACUUAUCUCAUGCCCAGCAGAUUUGCUAUAUAUAUUUUAAAACGGAAAUAUAUAAUUUUUUAACGGAAAACAAAGUCCAACAUGUAGCUUUGCUAUAUGGAUUGCUAUUAGCGGUCAUCAAAAUUGCUGAGCACCCAUGUUAUGUUUGAAUGAUUUCACUAGUGGGGACGGGGCCUUUAGCCCCGGCCCGUAAGGGCCUCUAGUCCCGGUUCACUAACCGGGACUAAAGGUGCGGGACUAAAGGCCUAACCUUUAGUCCCGGCCCUGUUUCAAGCCGGGACUAAAGGUGCUCCACAUGGGCGCCUCGUAGCGUCCUCAGGGGCAGGCCCUUUAGUCCCGGUUCGUUACACGGACCGGGACUAAAGAGUUUCAGAUUUUGUUUAUUUUUGGGUUUUAUUUUGAAUGAAAUUAUUUUUGGGUUUUAGGGUUUUAGGGUUUAGGUGUUCGGAAGAUUAACGUGAUGCCUCGUUUGAUGUUCGGGAAUUAGUUUUCAUAUAAUUUAAAUAGAAAUAAUUAUGCAUAUANNNNNNNNNNNNNNNNNNNNNNNNNNNNNNNNNNNNNNNNNNNNNNNNNNNNNNNNNNNNNNNNNNNNNNNNNNNNNNNNNNNNNNNNNNNNNNNNNNNNUUUCAAUUAAAAACUAUUUUUUUUGAGCUAGUUGACCUUGAAAUUGAAAAGCACUACAAAUGAACUCUGAAAAUGUUGAAAGUUGGCAUGCUAUCAUCAUUUCACCCACAUAGAAUGUGUUAAAAAGUUGAGAGGGCUACGACAAAAACUGGAUGCACUUCGUGUACAAAACGGACAAUCUCUCUCGAAGUAUCACGGUUUUGAAUGAGAACUCAUCUCUUACAAAGGGAUUUCAUUUUUUGAACUUAUUUUAACUCGAUACUUUUUGUGUGUUCAAAAUGCACCAUUCAAAGGCACAUUAUAAAAUUUCAACAAUUUCUGACUUCAUUUGGUAUAUUUCGUGCAUAUACUUAUUUUUUUUGAGCUAGUUGAACCUGAAAUUGAAAAGCACUACAAAUGAACUAUGAAAAUGUUGAUAGUUGGCAUGCUAUCAUCAUUUCACCCACAUAGCAUGUGUUAAAAAGUUGANNNNNNNNNNNNNNNNNNNNNNNNNNNNNNNNNNNNNNNNNNNNNNNNNNNNNNNNNNNNNNNNNNNNNNNNNNNNNNNNNNNNNNNNNNNNNNNNNNNNNNNNNNNNNNNNNNNNNNNNNNNNNNNNNNNNNNNNNNNNNNNNNNNNNNNNNNNNNNNNNNNNNNNNNNNNNNNNNNNNNNNNNUUCGUGUACAAAACGGACAAUCUCUCUCGAAGUACUAGGGUUUCGAACGAGAACUCAUCUCUUACAAAGGGAUUUUAUUUUUUUAACUUAUUUGAACUCCAUACUUUUUGUGUGUUCAAAAUGCACCCAUUCAAAGGCACAUCACAAAAUUUCAACAAUUUCUGACUUAAUUUGGUAUUUUUCGUGCAUUUACCUUUUUUUUAGCUACUUGACCCUGAAAUUGAAAAGCACUACAAAUGAACUCUGAAAAUGUUGAAAGUUGGCAUGCAAUCAUCAUUUCAUCCACAUAGCAUGUGUUAAAAAGUUGAGAGGGCGACGACAAAAACUGGAUGCACUUCGUGUACAAAACGGACAAUCUCUCUCGAAGUAUCAGCGUUUCGAACGAGAACUCAUCUCUUACAAAGGUUUAUUAAAAUUCUUUUUGCAUAUUUGAGAAUUUGACAAAACUAUGAAAAUGAAAAGUGUUUGAAAUUUAGUACAUUCCAUACAUGCAUUACAUAAAAAGUUUAAUACAUUAUUAUAUUAUUGCACCAAUAUUCCUAUCUAUUAUUUCUGUUUUCUUCUGCGUUAUACGUACAUCCAUACAUGUAAGCGGCUGUGCGUCGAUCACCGUACAUCCAUGGAUGGCUCAUCUGCGUUAUACGACAGUAUAUCAAAUACAAUCACGAUCCUAAAAAUUAGUACCGCACGGUCUAAACGAGGAAAUAUAGUUGCUAACCUUUUAGAAUAAGUAAAAAUAAAGAGGAAGAGGUUUAAGCGUGGCUCAGCCAUCUCAUAUCGUAGUUGUGUUCGGUGAACUAAAGCGGCAUCGCUCUAACACACAUUUCAACAAACACCUCUAGUGCAUAAAAAAAUGAGAGCUAGCACACACCCACACUCUUCCAUCCAAGAAAAAUGCAAGGAAGAGGGGAGAGGGGGGUUGUGCUAUAUAUAGGCAAAGGACUUUAGUCCCGGUUUGAGACACAAACCGGGACUAAAGGUGGCGCACAUGCGGGCUGCACAUCGCGUAGCCCUUUAGUCCCGGUUUGGGACACAAACCGGGACUAAAGGCUCCUUACGGGCCGGGACUAAAGCCUCGUGGGAGGCAUUGCGAUUUGGGGCGACGCGGCCGGGCCUUUAGUCCCGGCCCAGAGGCAGGCCGGGACUAAAGGGUCCAGACCAAAGGCCCGUUUUCCACUAGUGCAACGUAGAUAUAUGUCACUAUCUUACUAUUUUCUUUUGGGUUGUUUUUUACGAUGCAACUAGGGAGUUCCUGUAAUUUCAUAUAGAUAGUAAAAUGAAAAAUAAUAAGUGGGCCAUUUUAUUAAGUGGGGAACUAUGGUGAAAAGCUAAAAGAAAAAAAAGGAAAAGGAAACAACAAUAUUGAUGUCGGCCUAGGAAGACCUCCACAACCUACAUGACCAUCGUUAGACUCCCUCCAUUUCUUUUUACUAUGUGUAUAAAAUUUGUCUGAAGUCUAACUUCAUAAAGUUUGUCCAAAUUUAUAUGCAAAAAUAUCUACAUCUACGAUAAGGAAGUUAUACAAUAUGGAAAUUAAUUUCAUUAUUCACCCAAUGAUAUUGAUUUUGUAUUGUGAAUGUUGAUAUUUUUUUCAUAUAACGUUGGUCAAAGUUUACGAAGUUUGAUUUCACACAAAUCUUAUAUGUGGAUAAAUGGAGGGGGCAGGUACAAUGUGGGCUUUUUUUCUUUGUCGACAAACCAUCACUGUAGGAAACCAUGAAGGCAGGUUAAUUUGGAACAAUCUGUAGGCAGGUUAGUUUAUUGAGCUUGUUUCGUUUCUCAAGACAUUUACUUCAACGUUAAGAUACGCAUGUGUACACACUGAUAGGUUCAACUUAGAAAAAACUGCACAUGAUUUAGACCUGUACAAACCUCAGCCACAACUGACGCAUUAAUUUCAAUGUAAUGUGAUAUGUCAAGUACUGAUUCAACGGAUGCUUUUGAAAAAAUGUGUGCAUGACUUGGACCUUGUUGACGACUGGUCGUUCAAUCAUUCGUGUCGCGAGCUCAGCUACACACGCUCACAAAUUUCAGCAGUUUAUUUUGGAAAGAUGCAUAUCAACUUGAUUCACUGGCAACUUGUUGGUCCUGGUCGUCAUCUCAUUUAGCCAGUCUCCAAACCAUAUCAACAUCAACAGAAGCGUUCAACCAUUAGUGCAUCUCUCUGUACUUCAUCUCCUCAUGGUCAACUUUUUGAAAGAGUCAGGAGAGAAUAUACGAGGAAGCCAGGGAGUUAUUUCUGAAACUGAUGAGACAUAUUUUUUGUUGAUGCCAGGGACUUUAACCAAACAAUUUUAGAUGGAAACGGAUAGUAUUUUGUUUCUACGGAGGCCAAAAUAUUUUGGCCUGAUGUAUUCUUUUUCAGAAAAGAAAAAGAAAACAACGACGUGACUAAUGGUGCACAUAGAGGCAAUCCAUCUGGCCUAUUUAAAAAGUGAAAAUGCCGUCUAACAAAGCCGCCACCCAAUAAAUGUGGCUUGCGGCCAUAGUCCGCUAAAGGGGAAAUUGAUGCACUCUAAUCCAAACGUCUAAAUUCCACCUUUUUUUUAAAAAAAAGGAUGCAGGCAAGGAGCCGAGUCUCAAGCUGAAUUUGUCGGUUUGGGGGGUCUCACGAGAACGUAUGAGUUGAAAAAGGGUAGGCGAGUGUACCAAAGCACUGACAACCUCCUUUAGCAGUCGCGAGGUGAUGGAAACAAUGGUUGUUUUUAGGGGUGCUGGCGCUUAGGGGUUACCAUGUUAGGAGCAAGAGCAUCCGCAAAGGACCAUGUGUGGCUAAGUCAUCGAUAAAUACCAAACUAAAAUUUUGGGUCCAAGGGCCUCCGAAAAGGACCAUGUGACUUAGUCAUCAAUAAAAGUUGGACUAUUCUGUUAAAACUUGAUCUGAAUCUACUAUAUAAGCCAAGACCAACACCUUGAGUCCCUGUAGUACCUCAGCAUAUACUUCCUGUGAGCUCUUGUUCUGAAGAUGUCGGCGAGCAGGAGGCAAUCUUCUAUUGCUGUGGUGCUGCUGCUAGUGUUCCUUCAACUCAUCAGUUCGCUCGCCCGACCUCCAUGUAAGCAAGUGAAUGCCUUUGCUUCAGCUCUUUGUAAAGUAGAUAUUGAUUUACAAACCCAUGUUUCUUAGUACAACUAAUUUACAUGAGUCAGUCACUUUCCUCGGUAGGGUAACUAACUAGGAGGGAAAGGAUGGUUUACAGAACUUAUAAUUGGUAGUUUUUCUAUGGAGCUGAAUUUGGAUUUUGGAGUAAUUCUGAAUUUUCAAUGAUACCUUGUAACUAACUAAGUUCGUACUAGGUAUGAUUCAAUUCUGGCCCUAUCUAGAAUUUUUCAAUGAUACCUUGUACUCAAGACCAAACUCCAGUUUAAAUGGGACCAUAUCCAAUAGAAGAAACUAGUCAUUUCAUGGAUGCGCACAAAACAUAUUCAAACAGAGCAGAGUUUGAUGAAAAACUGGCCGUUUACAUACUUAAAAUAGAAUAUGUGCUUUCUUCUCAGAAAAAAAAUUGAAACGGAACACAUAGUAUAACAUUUUCUUUUGAACUUAAGUAAGUUCCAAAAAAUGUCAUAUUGUUUAGUUUCUCCAAACAAGUGUGAGAUGAAAAGUUUAUUACCUCACCUACUGAGGAGAUCAACGUAGAUCCAUUUUAUUAUUCUUAAAAAGGUUGGUUGAUCGAUAUAUAUAUAUAUAUCCCACCAGUUGUCUUCCUUUUCUUCAUUUGGAUCCAUGUGCAGGCGAUUAUCUUCGUCCAGGAACCUGUCGCUAUAAGAAACCAUGAAGUGGAGUUGAAAAAUGCGUGCAUGAUUCAUGCUUGCUUCGUUGGUUCAUAUUACCUUAUAUAGAUUGUUAUGUUUUUCUGGAGAAUUAUGCGUGCUGUGAGGAAUGGUUAGUCCAGUUUGUUGGCAAUGUAAAAUAUGUGAAGUUUAAAAUCACAUCACGGUGCAUUUUGAUGGAAUCUGCAUUCUCCAUUAUUAUUUCUGGAAACUAGUAUUUGCUAGAAAUGUUUACUUCUGUGGGACACUAACGCAUGUGUAACACAUUGAUUCACCUUGGAAAAAUUAUAUAGUACCUUUGUACCAUAAUAUAAGAUGCUAUUGCUGUUCAAAUAACGUCUUAUAUUAAGGUACAUAGGCAGUACCUCACAUGGUUUAAACUUAUUCAAAUCUCCAGGAGCAACUAUAACCGUACAAUAACGUGUUUAUUUCAACAUGAUGUGAUGUAUCAGAUACACUGAGUCAAUGGAUGCUAUGGAAAAAUUGGAUAUGUUCCUCAAAAAAAUAAAUUGCAUAUGACUUGGACUUUGUCCUGUUCGCUGACGGUUGGUCAUUUCACUGGACUCGCAAUUUUUAUUGGUUGGUUUUGGGAAGUUCUACAGGAAUUUCAUUCUAUUUGAUGCACCGGCGACUGGUCAUCUCAGCUACUCAGUCUUCAAACAACAUCCACAUCAACUCACAUAAACAUACUUAGUUUGACCAGACGUUUCCAGUACUCAAUAUCAGCCAAUCAGCCUUCUCCCAGCGAUUGGCAGAUUAACUUUCUGAUUGUAUCGGUGAGAGAAUAUGUGAGGAGGCCCGGGAGUUAUUUCUGAAUUCUAAUGCGUACAAGAAACAAUUUGUGUUCAUGCAAGGAGCUAGAAACAAUAGCGCAAAAUAAAAAAGAGCAACAAACAAACAAAUAAGUUUAGAUUGAAACUGUUAAUUUUUUUAUAUUUCGAGGAUAUUUCAUCAGACAAUGGUUGAGCCAGUGGUCGAAAUAGUAAAAUAAUCAAAGAAACGAUUUACUGUCCAAAAACAUUUUGCCAGCUAAGUUUUUGUGGGGGGUCAGAGAAGUGAGAGUGUUCUCACCUUAACAUGGCGUUACUACUUAGAGCAUCUCUAGCCGAUCCCCGAUAAAGCUUUAGAGGAGCAAAAUAAGGAGUUAACCACUAACCGAUCUCUCAAGCUUUAGAGGAGAAAAAUAAGGAGUUAACCACUAACCGAUCUCUCAAGCUUUAGAGNNNNNNNNNNNNNNNNNNNNNNNNNNNNNNNNNNNNNNNNNNNNNNNNNNNNNNNNNNNNNNNNNNNNNNNNNNNNNNNNNNNNNNNNNNNNNNNNNNNNNNNNNNNNNNNNNNNNNNNNNNNNNNNUCUCUCAAGCUUUAGAGAAGGGAAAUUUUACUCCUCUAAGUUUACGCCAGCAUCCAACUGUCCCAUCCUCUCCUCCGCAACACCACUCCUUUUCUCCCGUCCACCGCUGUUGGAACCGACGUUGACCACCCUGUUGACCGGGAAAAUGCCACCCCCCCCCCCCCAAAUGCUCACGCAACUCCGACGACGCCGGCUCGAGGAACUUCAUAAAAAUGUGACUCUCUUGCGACCCCAGCAAUAUAUAUGCGAUGAUAAUCUAAUUAAAACAAUGAAGCAAGCAUGCNNNNNNNNNNNNNNNNNNNNNNNNNNNNNNNNNNNNNNNNNNNNNNNNNNNNNNNNNNNNNNNNNNNNNNNNNNNNNNNNNNNNNNNNNNNNNNNNNNNNNNNNNNNNNNNNNNNNNNNNNNNCAAUGAAGCAAGCAUGCACACAUUUUUUCAAAGUUCACUUCAUGACUCGGGGCCUAUUCUUGUAAGUUGUUUGCACACCAAUCUAUAUCGUAACCUCUAAAUGUUUACAUCGUAAGUCCUCAAUCUUUGUAUCUUGGAAAGGAGGAUACGGCUCAGACACUGCCGAUGAUGAUGUGUCUUGCAGUUAUACUGUCGGAGGACGCUAGAGAUGUCCAUCUUGUGGGCGACGUGAAGGUGAUCUUGAUGACAAUGUUGAUGAAGAAAGCACGGAUAUAGACUUUGGCGAUAAUUUUGGUGAAGAAGCAACAUGUGUGAAGUAGUGUCGCUUGAAGCGUCCCUGGUGUGUUGAUGCCUCGAUGUCAGAGAAGUCGAUGAAGUCGUGUUCCCCACCGGCCCAUGGCUGAUGUCGCAUCGCAUGGAUUUGUGCUCGAUGAAGUAUGUUAGCUCGUACCUAGAAAUGUUACGACGCCUACUGCCAUUUAAUGUUGAAAUAUAUUGUCCACGUCUCUUCAUCAGUUUGGAAUUUUGAAGCAACUGACUCGAGCGUAAAUUCAAUAUAGUAUAAGAUCCAAAAGGUCUCAAGUUCAAGACCCUACCAAUGCAAUAUAAAAAAUGUUAUGUGGCCUAUGUUGAUCCCAUGUCGAAGGACUAAAACACACUCGACGUGAGGAGUGUUGAAAUAACUGUUCGCCUUCCUCCAUCAGUUUGGAUUUUUCGAACAAGUUAUAGCAUGAAUUCAAUAUCGACAAGAUAGCUUCGACUUAGGUGAAAACCGUUAAUCAUGUGUCGAUCAAGCUAGUAACAUCGAAGACCCAUCUCGUGACAUUUUCACUGCCGAAGCACAAACUUAGCAUCACUGACUCCACGAAGACAUGGUAAGGCAGGAGUAGUCCUCAAACAUGUUGGAUGAGGCCGACUAUCAUAGCCUAGCCAUCAACGAAUUCUGCCCAAAUCUACGACCGUUUACUAACAUGAAGACACGCUACUUUGUUCCAGGGUCAUAGCCCUAGAAUCCCCACUGGAAGCAACAUAAACCCAGAAACCAAGCUAACUCAAAGAUGAUGCCUUUGGGAAGGACGGUGGCACAAUAGGCAGCGCCAAC